Molecule: long non-coding RNA, 1053 nt
Filed under: Solanum lycopersicum (tomato)
Lineage: Eukaryota; Viridiplantae; Streptophyta; Magnoliopsida; Solanales; Solanaceae
Description: partial TCONS_00160246
Source: RNAcentral
AUUACAAUUUUAACAAUACAAUCGCGAUUCAACCCGCCCCGAUUCAUCUUCUUCCUCGAUCGAACCCGGAAACCGCGAUUCAAUCGCGAGAAAUUGUAUACAGCAGCAGCGCGCGUCUCCUCCUCUUUGUCCCUUAUCCUCCUUACCGAAUCUUCCAGGUGUCUCAAUCUUGUGUUUCGUCCGUCCUUGCUCCUCAGAUCGAACGGUGCUCCUUGGAAUUCCGUUGGGAAUCAGUACUGCCCAACUCUCCAACCUUAUCCCUUCAAGAAAAAUUCAAAAUUUGAAAAAUUUUGAAAUUCAAUUCGUUUUCCCCCUUUAAUCAACCCAUAUAUUCCUUUAUUUAAGGCCUUCACCCUUUUCAUUCAAAAGGGGGGAGAUGGUUGGAGAGAGUUGGCGAAAAAAAUUGGAAAAUGGGGGUUAGAAAGGAGAAGAAUAGAAGCAAACACAGUUAUAUAAAUUUAUCAAAAAGUUGUUGAUUUCUAUUUUGUUUGCGGGGUUAUAGAUUUUCGAUAUCAAACUUCCCUUUUAAAAUUUCCCGUAUUCUUUUGUCGAAAGCUCUCAUCGGAAGUGUGGAAGUCUCUGUUUGGUUUGUUAUUGUCUCAGACACUGCUCAUCAAGAGCUUUACGAUAUCCUACAUGUUGAAUACCUUCCAAGUAAUGAAGCAUACGUGCGCAACAUUUUCUCGUGACAUAAGUUCAAGUUCUAAUCAUCUAGAUCACGCUUAGAUUGAUUCUCGAUCUCCAGUUCAGCAGAAUCAUUGGAUCAGUUCUCAGCAUCCAGAUCACACUUAGAUCUAUUCUCAGUCUCCAGUUCAGUAAAAUCAGUGGUGAUUCCUCCUUCUCCAAGGACAAUAGUCAUGAGUUUAUUUCAGUAUUUUUAGUCCUUUAGCUUCAAUUUUUGCUAGCCUUAGUUGGGGUCUGUCCCAACAUUUCUAGUCAGUUAGAGGCUAUUUUCAAACAUAGUUAGUUUCAGCUUAGUAUUGAGUUAAUAUCUUAUUUGUAUUAAACUCAUCAGUUUUCAUAUAUCUUAGUUAAAGUAUAUGAGUAUUCCCC